UACGUAGGGUGCGAGCGUUGUCCGGAAUUAUUGGGCGUAAAGAGCUCGUAGGUGGCCAACUAAGUCAGACGUGAAAUCCCUCGGCUUAACCGGGGAACUGCGUCUGAUACUGGAUGGCUUGAGUUCGGGAGAGGGAUGCGGAAUUCCAGGUGUAGCGGUGAAAUGCGUAGAUAUCUGGAGGAACACCGGUGGCGAAGGCGGCAUCCUGGACCGACACUGACGCUGAGGAGCGAAAGCCAGGGGAGCAAACGGG
RNAcentral lists this ribosomal RNA (253 nucleotides) under uncultured bacterium. Its description in RNAcentral is "partial 16S ribosomal RNA". It matches the Rfam family "Bacterial small subunit ribosomal RNA", at positions 524 to 776 of the family's 1533-position model. The record is from RNAcentral.